GUCGGAAAGCAUACCUCCCUGAAGGUUCCUGAUCUCUGAUCUCAAAAGCUAAACAGUGUCAGGCCUGAUUGGGACUGGUAUGGGAGAAGUAGAGACAGUAGGAUUUGUGGCU
Ochotona princeps (American pika) is the source of this 112-nucleotide ribosomal RNA. NCBI's taxonomy places the organism in Eukaryota, Metazoa, Chordata, Mammalia, Lagomorpha, Ochotonidae. The record is from Ensembl.